Molecule: ribosomal RNA, 1410 nt
Filed under: uncultured Bacilli bacterium
Lineage: Bacteria; Bacillati; Bacillota; Bacilli
Description: bacterial SSU rRNA
Rfam family: Bacterial small subunit ribosomal RNA
Source: RNAcentral
AUGAACGCUGGCGGCGUGCCUAAUACAUGCAAGUCGAACGCUUUGUGGUUCAACUGAUUUGAAGAGCUUGCUCAGAUAUGACGAUGGACAUUGCAAAGAGUGGCGAACGGGUGAGUAACACGUGGGAAACCUACCUCUUAGCAGGGGAUAACAUUUGGAAACAGAUGCUAAUACCGUAUAACAAUGACAACCGCAUGGUUGUUAUUUCAAAGAUGGUUCUGCUAUCACUAAGAGAUGGUCCCGCGGUGCAUUAGCUAGUUGGUAAGGUAAUGGCUUACCAAGGCGAUGAUGCAUAGCCGAGUUGAGAGACUGAUCGGCCACAAUGGGACUGAGACACGGCCCAUACUCCUACGGGAGGCAGCAGUAGGGAAUCUUCCACAAUGGGCGAAAGCCUGAUGGAGCAACGCCGCGUGUGUGAUGAAGGGUUUCGGCUCGUAAAACACUGUUGUAAGAGAAGAAUGACAUUGAGAGUAACUGUUCAAUGUGUGACGGUAUCUUACCAGAAAGGAACGGCUAAAUACGUGCCAGCAGCCGCGGUAAUACGUAUGUUCCAAGCGUUAUCCGGAUUUAUUGGGCGUAAAGCGAGCGCAGACGGUUAUUUAAGUCUGAAGUGAAAGCCCUCAGCUCAACUGAGGAAUUGCUUUGGAAACUGGAUGACUUGAGUGCAGUAGAGGAAAGUGGAACUCCAUGUGUAGCGGUGAAAUGCGUAGAUAUAUGGAAGAACACCAGUGGCGAAGGCGGCUUUCUGGACUGUAACUGACGUUGAGGCUCGAAAGUGUGGGUAGCAAACAGGAUUAGAUACCCUGGUAGUCCACACCGUAAACGAUGAGUGCUAGGUGUUUGAGGGUUUCCGCCCUUAAGUGCCGCAGCUAACGCAUUAAGCACUCCGCCUGGGGAGUACGACCGCAAGGUUGAAACUCAAAGGAAUUGACGGGGACCCGCACAAGCGGUGGAGCAUGUGGUUUAAUUCGAAGCAACGCGAAGAACCUUACCAGGUCUUGACAUCCCUUGACAACUCCAGAGAUGGAGCGUUCCCUUCGGGGACAAGGUGACAGGUGGUGCAUGGUUGUCGUCAGCUCGUGUCGUGAGAUGUUGGGUUACGUCCCGCAACGAGCGCAACCCUUAUUACUAGUUGCCAGCAUUCAGUUGGGCACUCUAGUGAGACUGCCGGUGACAAACCGGAGGAAGGUGGGGAUGACGUCAAAUCAUCAUGCCCCUUAUGACCUGGGCUACACACGUGCUACAAUGGCGUAUACAACGAGUUGCCAACCCGCGAGGGUGAGCUAAUCUCUUAAAGUACGUCUCAGUUCGGAUUGUAGGCUGCAACUCGCCUACAUGAAGUCGGAAUCGCUAGUAAUCGCGGAUCAGCACGCCGCGGUGAAUACGUUCCCGGGUCUUGUACACACCGCC